CAUUACCGAGCUCAUGCCCUUACGGGUAAAGGUCCCACCCUUUGUUAUCAUUUCCUUUGUUGCUUUGCCGGGACCCCAGGCUUCCGCUACGCUAUGCGCUUCCGCUGGAAAGAGCCCGACAGGGGAACCAACAUCCUGUUUAUUACCCCCCCCUCUUAUACUAUACAAUAUUUCUAACUUUCCUCACGGAUCGGUUGGUUCAGGCCUCCACGAAGAACCCCACCAAAAGUAAUAAAAAAGUGAAUUGCUAAUUCAGUGAAUCAUUCAAUCUUUGAACUCUGAUUGCGCCCCUUGUUAUUCCGAGGGGCCUGCCCGUUCGAGCGUCAUUACAACCCUCAAGCAUUGUUUGGUGUUGGGCUCCGCUGCUAACCCACCUGGCCCUAAAAUCAGUGGCGGUGCCCUCCGGCCCUAGCCACCAGGCUUCGGCUAGGCAAUCGGUUUCGGCUGGUAAGCACCCGCCAGGGGACCCAACAUCCAGUUUUUUAGUUUGUUUUGAGUGCUUUAUAAUAGUUAAAACUUUCAAUAACGGAUGUAUUGGUUGGGGCAUGGAUGAAGAACGAAGGGAAAUGCAAUAAAUAAUGAAAAUUGCAGAAUUCAGUGAAUCAAUGAUUUUUUGAACGCACAUUCCGCCCCUUGGUAUUCCGUGGGGCAGGCAUGUUCGAGCGUCAUUCCAACCCUCAAGCAUUGCUUGGUGUUGGGAUCCGGGGCUAACAUAGCGGGCCUUAAAAACAGUGGGGGAGCCGUGGGGCCCUGAAAGUAUUAAAUUUCCUCGCUACAGGGACCCGA
RNAcentral lists this unclassified non-coding RNA (786 nucleotides) under uncultured Hyaloscyphaceae. Its description in RNAcentral is "sequence contains ITS1, 5.8S rRNA gene and ITS2". The stretch from base 515 to 668 matches the Rfam family "5.8S ribosomal RNA". Lineage: Eukaryota; Fungi; Ascomycota; Leotiomycetes; Helotiales. The record is from RNAcentral.